UCUACGGGAGGCAGCAGUGAGGAAUAUUGGUCAAUGGGCGCAAGCCUGAACCAGCCAUCCCGCGUGAAGGAAAAAGGCGCUAUGCGUUGUAAACUUCUUUUCCAGGGGAAUAAAAUUUUGUACGUGUACGGAAUUGAAGGUACCCUGGGAAUAAGCAUCGGCUAACUCCGUG
RNAcentral lists this ribosomal RNA (172 nucleotides) under uncultured bacterium. RNAcentral describes it as "partial 16S ribosomal RNA". It matches the Rfam family "Bacterial small subunit ribosomal RNA", at positions 338 to 507 of the family's 1533-position model. The record is from RNAcentral.